UCUGUGGUUAAUGAUGCACACUCUUUCCCCGACUUAUCGACUAUGGUGAUAUAAUAUGCAACAUAAGCCAAUUUUUCUGAAACCACAUU
Small nucleolar RNA from Etheostoma cragini (Arkansas darter), 89 nucleotides. RefSeq annotates it as small nucleolar SNORD12/SNORD106. The transcript has a single exon. The record is from RefSeq and is a predicted model, not a curated record. NCBI's taxonomy places the organism in Eukaryota, Metazoa, Chordata, Actinopteri, Perciformes, Percidae.